Equus asinus (donkey) is the source of this 3476-nucleotide long non-coding RNA. Lineage: Eukaryota; Metazoa; Chordata; Mammalia; Perissodactyla; Equidae. The record is from Ensembl.
GUAACACAGCAUGGUGGGGAAUUCCUGCUAGUGGCGUGAACAGAGCUGAGAGAGUAGCAAGCCGGGGAACGCCUGUCCUCUGGGCUUAGGGAAGGUUUCACAGCCGGGUUGCGUUGGAGUGAGUCUGCAAAGGAUGAAUAAAUCAAGGCACAGAGAAGUUACAGGACUUGGCCAAGGAGAGAUACAGGUGGUGGAACAGAGAUUCAAACUCAGGUAGUUUGGUUCCAGAAAAGUCUCCUUAUUCACUCACCAUGUAUUUAUUGAACACUUUUCUCCAUUCUUGACUUUUCUGAAUUUCUCCUUCUACUGAAUCCAAGGGCUUUUAUUUUAUGUAACAAAUAGAUACUGGGCUGCUACUGUGUGGCAGUUUCUGGAUUAAUUUACUUCUGGUAAAUUGUAUUAAUGUUGUAUAGUACAAGCUUAAAAACAAGCUCUUGAAAAUAUGCCCAUGCUCUGAAAAAAACCAGGCAAGGAAUCUUCUGGGCAUUCAUUUAAUUUGCCUUGUGCCUUCUGUCAGGAUCUUCUGGUUGUCGAUGCAUGUGGGGAACCAAGUAUACUUGCCACCAGUAGAGGGAGGAGCCAGAAGAGGUAAAAAUCAGGCUUUUAGAUGAUGGAGUUAGAGUCUAUGUAAAUUCCAAAAGCUGGUUUCUUCCAGAACCUUGGGCCCGUGGAAUUCAUAUUUGUAAAGCUGGGCAUGCAAAAUGAUGUUAUAGGAAGGUUCUCUUUGACCAAAUCUGCAUCAUCCUUGCUCUGCUUCAAAAUUACCUGAUGUCUGCCAUCUCAUCUGAAUGCUGGUCCUUUAUGACAGAAUAUCUCCAAGCAAUUAUAAUUGGUGAUUUUCUUCUAUUUCAGCUGUCAGCACGUUCUAUUGUUGUUUUAACUGUGUCUCUGUCUUUAGAUAAUAAAAGCACAGAAUGAAGGGACUGGGUAUCUGUGGCCACAUCUGUAAUAUGAGUUCUCUGUUCCCUGAGAACAUUCAGCAAGUACUGGUGAUAAAUGUUCUGUACUUGGGGAAAACAGGUUCUUCCUACUAUACUUUGAGGUAUUUAUCUCCAUUUCAUGGAUGACAACUUCAACUUCCAAAGUCAGGAAAUUCUCCUGGAGCACCAAGUGAAAGAAAGUGAUGCUACAGGAGUGUUCCUCACCCAGCCUGUCCAACAAUGAUGAUGCCUAAUUUACCAUUUAGCUUUGCAGCCUCUUACUCAUCUAGUAGUUUCCCAAGUUGCCUUGGGUGAUCCUUUCUAUAGCUGGAGAUGGAACUCCUAUUAACAACUCCUAGGAACUCGUAGUAACAACUAUUCAGCAUCUUAAUUUCUAGAUUCCAAUUUCCAGUGGGGUAAGUUGACUCUAACUUUUACCAACAUAUUUGGCCUCUAAUACAGCAAAACUCUCAGAGAAAACUUUUCUAUCCUCCCUUCCCCCUCAAAAGAAUCAAUAACAUUUAAGGAAAUGAUAACAUUAUACUAGCUGCAAUUAUUAUGAACUUUCACAUCUUCUGAUUUAAGCUAAAAUUCCUCAAAAUGUUAAAUGACUAAAAUGCUAGUGAGUAUCUGGCCUCAUUCCUCAUUCUUGGUGCAUCCAUCUCUGAGUCUCACUUGUUCCAACCCAAGGUGCCCGCUGAAUUUGGGUUUCCUCCAAAUGAUUUGAUAUCGUGGCUGGGUGAGUUACUCUUCAGCUUGAGUCAGGGGGGAAGAAUAUUAACACAGGCCACCUGGUAGAUUACCCCUUGGCAAACUCUGACUGCAGUGGACCAAAUGGUAUACUAGUGAUAUAAAAGUGUCAUGGCACUUCUGUGGUGCGUGAUGGAAACUGAGGGGUCAUUCCUUCUCAUCCUAUAACUGGCCCCCAUAGAAACACAAUCAUAUUAAUUCUGGAGAAGAACAAGGAGUGCCAGACUGUCCUCCACUGGGAAAGUGCUAAUUUGUGCAGCUGAAGACUGCCAGUUUCAGGGUGGUGAUUGACAGCUCUAAGCAGGAACAGUUUAUCCAGAGGUGCAGGGCAGAGAAGACUAUGAAUCACUUACUUUCAUAAAGCACUUAACUGUUUACACAGAUCCAGGGAGGGGAUUACACGGCAGGCGUCCAGGGAAGGAGGUUGAACAGCUAGAAUGAUCCCUUAUUGCAGAUCAAAGAAAGGAGGCCCAGACAAUGGACUUGCUUCAAGUGGCUUGUCUGAGGCCACAACUAGGGAGAGGUGGCAAAUCAGGGAUGAUGGUCCAGGCUUUCAAAUGCAAUGGGAUCUAAUCUAUCUAUGAGGGUCUCCAGGACUGGCUGCCAUGUGUUCCUAUAGGAAAGUGUCCUUGAACACUUCUGAGUGUGACAGGCUCCGUGGAAGAAAAUGCCCAUGACUUAGUUAGGUCACACAUGUCAUUGUUGAAGAAAAUGUGCUUCAAAAUUCCCAUUGCUCCUCCUCCUUUGAGAUGGAAACAUGCUGAGGGAGAUGAGGGAAGGUGUGAAGUGAGCACCCCAGGAGAGUCAAUCACCAGGCUAAACUAAGGCAGAUAUGCAAAUAGAAUUCCAGUAUGUUUGAUUUCCAUGUGAGAUGCCCGGCUGCAUUUUUCCAUCACUCCUUAUGGGCCUCUAAGGAGCUGUGAAAAGCACCUGGUCUCUAAGGACCAAUAUUCUGAAGUAAGCAGCUGGGAAAAAUCCUUUAAUAUGUCUUGAAAUGAACUCAUGAUUGGACCAGAAAUAUAUCUUCACUCAACAUGAGCACGUCAAUAAGCCAAAAAGCAGAAGUGCUUCCAAAGCACUUCAAGUGGGUAUUUGAUUAACAUCUCACAGCCCACGGCAGCUCCAAAGCGCAUUUGGAAAUUCUCUGCGUCCAAGUUGAACAGAAACCCAUGUGCCAGGCAAAACACGGGAGUGGGUCUCUGAACCAAAGCCGGAGCUUAUGGCUUUACAAGGAGAAUUUGCAGCAGGGGGCGGCAACUUCUGAAAAACAGGGAGUGGGUAGCUUUGUGAUCCUUAUUCUGGCAGGAACAGUGACAGCAGAGCCCUAGGGGGCCUGGCGAUGCCCCCACAUGUAUUCCCUUGGGCACAGUAUGGGCCAUUGUGGGAAGGGGCCUAUGGCGGGGAUCAGGGAGACAGCUGGAGGGGAUGGGUCUGGGUCUGUGGGCACCUACAAAGUGUCUGUUACUGGUGCAAAUGUCAGAUUACAAACCUCAGCUCACCAGUACAUCUCCAGCAUCUUGUGUUGAAUUUGGUGGCUCCCUAUCUUCUUUCUUUUUUGUCUUCCUGCCACCUGUUUGUGGAAGACACUAUUAGCUGUCAACUCAUCAGCUACACCUUCCAUUUUCUUUUGCUUACAGGACCACAGUGUAUUCACCCUUUUCUGAGAGGCUCCCAGUAAGGGAGGCUAGGCCCUUCCCCACACUAGGGACAGAAACCUUAGUGGUGUCAGGGAAUCAUAGUGAUCUCCCUCCAUUACUAAUAAACGAGAGAGUAGAAUGAUUACAAUGUGGAGUGAGAGGGUUUGGA